Molecule: ribosomal RNA, 470 nt
Filed under: uncultured organism
Description: partial 16S ribosomal RNA
Rfam family: Bacterial small subunit ribosomal RNA
Source: RNAcentral
CACUUACGGGAGGCAGCAGUGGGGAAUAUUGCACAAUGGGCGCAAGCCUGAUGCAGCCAUGCCGCGUGUAUGAAGAAGGCCUUCGGGUUGUAAAGUACUUUCAGCGGGGAGGAAGGUGUUGAGGUUAAUAACCUCAGCAAUUGACGUUACCCGCAGAAGAAGCACCGGCUAACUCCGUGCCAGCAGCCGCGGUAAUACGGAGGGUGCAAGCGUUAAUCGGAAUUACUGGGCGUAAAGCGCACGCAGGCGGUCUGUCAAGUCGGAUGUGAAAUCCCCGGGCUCAACCUGGGAACUGCAUUCGAAACUGGCAGGCUAGAGUCUUGUAGAGGGGGGUAGAAUUCCAGGUGUAGCGGUGAAAUGCGUAGAGAUCUGGAGGAAUACCGGUGGCGAAGGCGGCCCCCUGGACAAAGACUGACGCUCAGGUGCGAAAGCGUGGGGAGCAAACAGGAUUAGAAACCCGAGUAGUCCCA